RNAcentral lists this ribosomal RNA (253 nucleotides) under uncultured bacterium. RNAcentral's name for it is "partial 16S ribosomal RNA". It matches the Rfam family "Bacterial small subunit ribosomal RNA", at positions 524 to 776 of the family's 1533-position model. The record is from RNAcentral.
UACGUAGGGUGCGAGCGUUGUCCGGAAUUAUUGGGCGUAAAGAGCUUGUAGGCGGUUUGUCGCGUCUGCUGUGAAAAUCCGGGGCUCAACCCCGGACUUGCAGUGGGUACGGGCAGACUAGAGUGUGGUAGGGGAGACUGGAAUUCCUGGUGUAGCGGUGAAAUGCGCAGAUAUCAGGAGGAACACCGGUGGCGAAGGCGGGUCUCUGGGCCGAAACUGACGCUGAGGAGCGAAAGCGUGGGGAGCAAACAGG